CUGACUUACAGUCUGUUCUAUUCUUCAAUUCCUUCAUCAAAAGUCAGGGAGAAGAGAAAUACAUGCAAGACACAACUGCAAUAUGAAAAAUCAUUGAAGUACUGACAGGUGGAUUCAGCUGUAUGUAACAGAUUAAUACAACGAAGAAACAUUAGCAGCUGUUUAAUCUAUUCAGAUGGUGGAUUACAAAAACACCACUACCAGAAUGAAGAAAGUUGCUCCUGAGGAAAUGCCUUUAGAGUGUUCUGUCUCACAAAAUCUUGAAGAAAGCUGAACAUGUAACCAAGAAUGGAAAAAGGUUUGUUCCUGAAGGUCAGAACUAUAUUAUGCUCUUCAGUGAUGACUCCCAUCAUUCUUGAAGAUCUUCUGAGAAGGAAUACAAAAAAAGUGAUACUCCCUGCUGCAAGGAAGCAGCAAAUCCAUCCCACUUUGGAGAUAAUGACGCUGACUGAGCUAUUGCUGAUCACAGAAAAGUCAUCCAGAUGCCCCUGUUUGGAGACUUGUGUUUCAUUAAAACCAAAGGCGCCAGGGAGGAACGGCAGUGAUACUCCUGGAGAUGUGGGUUUUCUGCAGAGGUCCUACUGUCUUUACAGAACAUAACAGAAAAUAAUAUAAAUAGUUUCAAAAAACUGCUGUUAUGAUCUUCCUCUCAUUUUGACUCUUAAGGACUAACUUUUACAAAUUUGUGCUGCACAAAUUAAAAAAAAAUAUUCUUAGGGUUAUUACAUGUAUAAAUCUAGGAAGUCUCAACACUCCCUGAAAAACUUUGUAAGACUUAUGACUUUCUAGGGACUUUUUUUUUUUUGGAAAGAUUUCCAACAGUAGAAUAAACUGAAUGCUCAGUAGAUAAGUCUUUCUUGA
This 861-nucleotide long non-coding RNA is filed under the name Numida meleagris (helmeted guineafowl). RNAcentral's name for it is "lncRNA (ENSNMEG00000008703.1)". The record is from RNAcentral. Lineage: Eukaryota; Metazoa; Chordata; Aves; Galliformes; Numididae.